RNAcentral lists this ribosomal RNA (443 nucleotides) under uncultured bacterium. RNAcentral describes it as "bacterial SSU rRNA". It matches the Rfam family "Bacterial small subunit ribosomal RNA", at positions 337 to 796 of the family's 1533-position model. The record is from RNAcentral.
UCCUACGGGGGGCAGCAGUAGGGAAUAUUGCUUAAUGGGCGCAAGCCUGAAGCAGCAACGCCGCGUGUGCGAUGAAGGCCUUCGGGUUGUAAAGCACUUUUGAGCGGGACGAGGAAGGACGGUACCGUUCGAAUAAGCCUCGGCUAACUACGUGCCAGCAGCCGCGGUAAAACGUAGGAGGCGAGCGUUAUCCGGAUUUACUGGGUGUAAAGCGCGUGCAGGCGGUUAGCUAAGUUGGGUGUGAAAGCUCCUGGCUCAACUGGGAGAGGUCGCUCAAGACUGGCUGACUGGAGAGCAGUAGGGGAAGGUGGAAUUCCGGGUGUAGUGGUGAAAUGCGUAGAUAUCCGGAGGAACACCAGUGGCGAAAGCGGCCUUCUGGACUGCAUCUGACGCUCAGACGCGAAAGCUAGGGGAGCAAACGGGAUUAGAUACCCCAGUAGUCC